GACGAACGCUGGCGGCGUGCUUAACACAUGCAAGUCGAACGGAAAGGCCCCCUUGUGGUGUACUCGAGAGGCGAACGGGUGGGUAACACGAGAGUAACCUACCCUUGACUUGGGGGUAACUUCAGGAAACUGGGGCUAAUACCGUAUAGCAUCUACUCCUGCAUCGUGGGGGUUGGGAAUGUUCGGCGGUUGGGGAUGGACUCGAGGCGUAUCAGCGUGUUGGUGGGGUAGUGGCUCACCAAGGGUUUGACGGGUAGCCGGCCUGUGAGGGUGACCGGCCCCAAUGGGACUGAGAUACGGCCCAGACUCCUACGGGAGGCAGCAGUGGGGAAUAUUGCACAAUGGGCGGAAGCCUGAUGCAGCAACGCCGCGUGCGGGAUGACGGCCUUCGGGUUGUAAACCGCUUUCGCCUGUGACGAAGCGUGAGUGACGGUAAUGGGUAAAGAAGCACCGGCUAACUACGUG
Molecule: ribosomal RNA, 465 nt
Filed under: uncultured bacterium
Lineage: Bacteria
Description: partial 16S ribosomal RNA
Rfam family: Bacterial small subunit ribosomal RNA
Source: RNAcentral